AUUGAACGCUGGCGGCAUGCCUUACACAUGCAAGUCGAACGGCAGCGGGGGAGAAGCUUGCUUUUCCUGCCGGCGAGUGGCGAACGGGUGAGUAAUACAUCGGAACGUGCCCUGUAGUGGGGGAUAACUAGUCGAAAGAUUAGCUAAUACCGCAUACGACCUGAGGGUGAAAGUGGGGGACCGCGAGGCCUCAUGCUAUAGGAGCGGCCGAUGUCUGAUUAGCUAGCUGGUGGGGUAAGGGCCUACCAAGGCGACGAUCAGUAGCUGGUCUGAGAGGACGAUCAGCCACACGGGGACUGAGACACGGCCCAGACUCCUACGGGAGGCAGCAGUGGGGAAUUUUGGACAAUGGGCGAAAGCCUGAUCCAGCAAUGCCGCGUGUGUAGAAGGCCUUCGGGUUGUAAAGCACUUUUGUCCGGAAAGAAAUGGCUCUGGUUAAUACCUGGGGUCGAUGACGGUACCGGAAGAAUAAGGACCGGCUAACUACGUGCCAGCCGCCGCAGUAA
Molecule: ribosomal RNA, 506 nt
Filed under: uncultured bacterium
Lineage: Bacteria
Description: partial 16S ribosomal RNA
Rfam family: Bacterial small subunit ribosomal RNA
Source: RNAcentral